Molecule: long non-coding RNA, 1095 nt
Organism: Musca domestica (house fly)
Lineage: Eukaryota; Metazoa; Arthropoda; Insecta; Diptera; Muscidae
Exons: 3
Source: RefSeq, a predicted model, not a curated record
AUACGAGUAUGUACGGCCCAUUACACAUCGCGGUACAUGCAGUGAUGCCAAUUGUAAUUGACUGCAACACCAACAAAAACAACAACGACGGCGAUGACAAUAAUAAUAUUUUUAUUCCAUUCAAUUCAAUUAUCGAUCAAUUUCGCCAGAGCCUCGAAGACGCCGUUUGAAAGGUGUUGUCGGUUUCCAUUGAAAAUUUGCAAAAGAAUGUGGCAGCCAAUAAACAAUCAACGGAGCGCACACUUCAGCCGCACCGCCUCCACCAAUAAAAACAACAACAAACAAAUAAUGUACGGCAAUUACCAACAGCAGAAAUUAAUUUGCAACUGCAGGUUUGAACGCGAUCGCGCGUUACUUAAGUUCGAUAUUGUGUUAAUGUGUCGAGUUUGAGUUUGUGACUGAAAUGUGUUGAAACGAUCUCCAUUCGUUUUACUAGAAAUUUUCGGAUGUUCGAUGUUACUUUGCGUAUCAAACGUCAGCAGACAUGUUGGUGGUGAAGCAACGAACCAAUGGACGAUCAAGAAACCUAUAAGAAAAAUGUUCAUACUACUUUGUAAUGAAGACUUGGACAAUUUAUAAUGGAGCAAUACUCAACUGAACAAGAUGCUCAAAUGUACUAUACAAAUCAACGGUCCAUAGGAUAUGGGCUACGAAAAGCCCGAACGUACUUCAUCCACGACAAUUAUACCCAGUUAAGGUUACUAUUUGGUGUGGUGUUUCUUUAGAAAGGACCGUGAACGUGGUGUCGCCAUUUUAUCACUGGUGAUCGAUAUCGGUCCAUGUUGGACAAUUCUGUAAGGCCAGCCGUAGAAAAGGAUGGAGCGAAAGCGUACAUUGCGAGGGCCACAAAGGCUCGUAAAAAAGUAAUAUCGCGGAGAAACAAAUUUAACCGUUCAGCAUUCUCCAGAAUAAACCGCUCCAGACAGCUUCCUUUUGGGGCCUAGGAUAUUUCAGGAAUGAAAAACCAAUAUUCGAGACGAAGUUAUCAGAAGUUUUGCGAAAGGUCAUGGAAAAUGUGUUGAAAAGAGCACAUUUGUGCGAAGCAGAAAAUGGGCACCACUUGCGGGACAUCACUUUUAAUAACUAAUCUAAAAA